RNAcentral lists this ribosomal RNA (475 nucleotides) under uncultured bacterium. RNAcentral describes it as "bacterial SSU rRNA". It matches the Rfam family "Bacterial small subunit ribosomal RNA", at positions 36 to 524 of the family's 1533-position model. The record is from RNAcentral.
ACUGGCGGCGUGCUUACCAUGCAAGUCACGGGGGCCCGCAAGGGCAACCGGCGAACGGGUGCGUAACACGUGAACAACCUGCCCUCGUGUGGGGGAUAGCCAUGCUAACGCGUGGGUAAUACCGCAUACGUUCCUCUGGGGGAGUCCCUGGGGGAGGAAAGCUCCGGCGCACGGGGAGGGGUUCGCGGCCUAUCAGCUAGUUGGCGGGGUAAUGGCCCACCAAGGCGACGACGGGUAGCUGGUCUGAGAGGAUGGCCAGCCACAUUGGGACUGAGAGACGGCCCAGACUCCUACGGGAGGCAGCAGUGGGGAAUCUUGCGCAAUGGCCGAAAGGCUGACGCAGCGACGCCGCGUGUGGGAUGAAGCAUUUCGGUGUGUAAACCACUGUUGCCCGGGACGAACAGCCUUUUUCGAGAGGUCUGACGGUACCGGGUGAGAAAGCACCGGCUAACUCCGUGCCAGCAGCCGCGGUAAU